CAGGACGAACGCUGGCGGCGUGCUUAACACAUGCAAGUCGAGCGAUGAAGCUCCUUCGGGAGUGGAUUAGCGGCGGACGGGUGAGUAACACGUGGGUAACCUGCCUCAUAGAGGGGAAUAGCCUUUCGAAAGGAAGAUUAAUACCGCAUAAGAUUGUAGUACUGCAUGGUACAGCAAUUAAAGGAGUAAUCCGCUAUGAGAUGGACCCGCGUCGCAUUAGCUAGUUGGUGAGGUAACGGCUCACCAAGGCGACGAUGCGUAGCCGACCUGAGAGGGUGAUCGGCCACAUUGGGACUGAGACACGGCCCAGACUCCUACGGGAGGCAGCAGUGGGGAAUAUUGCACAAUGGGGGAAACCCUGAUGCAGCAACGCCGCGUGAGUGAUGACGGCCUUCGGGUUGUAAAACUCUGUCUUUGGGGACGAUAAUGACGGUACCCAAGGAGGAAGCCACGGCUAACUACGUGCCAGCCGCUGC
RNAcentral lists this ribosomal RNA (476 nucleotides) under uncultured bacterium. RNAcentral's name for it is "bacterial SSU rRNA". It matches the Rfam family "Bacterial small subunit ribosomal RNA", at positions 25 to 518 of the family's 1533-position model. The record is from RNAcentral.